CCUACGGGUGGCAGCAGUGGGGAAUAUUGGACAAUGGGGGGAACCCUGAUCCAGCGACGCCGCGUGAGUGAAGAAGUAUUUCGGUAUGUAAAGCUCUAUCAGCAGGGAAGAAAGAAAUGACGGUACCUGACUAAGAAGCCCCGGCUAACUACGUGCCAGCAGCCGCGGUAAUACGUAGGGGGCAAGCGUUAUCCGGAUUUACUGGGUGUAAAGGGAGCGUAGACGGCGAUGCAAGUCUGAAGUGAAAGGCGGGGGCCCAACCUCCGGACUGCUUUGGAAACUGUAUGGCUGGAGUGCAGGAGAGGUAAGUGGAAUUCCUAGUGUAGCGGUGAAAUGCGUAGAUAUUAGGAGGAACACCAGUGGCGAAGGCGGGUUCCUGGACAUUAACUGACGCUGAGGCACGAAGGCCAGGGGAGCGAAAGGGAUUAGAUACCCGUGUAGUC
This 443-nucleotide ribosomal RNA is filed under the name uncultured bacterium. RNAcentral's name for it is "partial 16S ribosomal RNA". It matches the Rfam family "Bacterial small subunit ribosomal RNA", at positions 338 to 795 of the family's 1533-position model. The record is from RNAcentral.